Molecule: non-coding RNA, 1895 nt
Organism: Monodelphis domestica (gray short-tailed opossum)
Lineage: Eukaryota; Metazoa; Chordata; Mammalia; Didelphimorphia; Didelphidae
Source: RefSeq, a predicted model, not a curated record
UCACCUCUGAGCAUCCUGCGGGACCCUGCCCUGGACCACGACCAUCUUUCCGGCGUGAAGGCCACCAAAAAUUGUUGUGGCGUAGGGGACGACCUGAACCCCCAGGGAAACAAAGUCACAGGCUGGGACAGGUGACGAGAAGCAGCUGGCCUGGAAGAGCUGGAAUGAUGGGGAGAAUUUGUGCUCGGAACUCGGGACUGGGCCAGGAUCACACAGUCAGUCCUAGUCUGGACAAGAGCUUCAGGGCCUACAAAGCUCUGGAUGAGGAGACGGUCUCCAAGAGCCUCCAGGUGAGUGACAAAAACGAAGCUCAGACAAGUUAAAAGAGGCCCCGGGCAGGACUCACCGGCAUUCUACCUCCUGGAUGGUGUCAGGCAUUGGCUGGUUCCUUGAUUCAGGGAGGAAGAGGAAGACCAGAAGGCUGGCAGCGAUGGCUGCAGUGGCAAAGAUGAUCUGUGGCAGGACUGGAAUGUAGUGCGUGAGUAUGUUCACCAGAGGGGCCAGGAUUGCCCCGGUCCGAUCAAACAGGAGAAUCGUUCCCUUGGACAUGUCCCUGCCAGGGCACAGGAGAUCCCCAGUUAGUGAGUCUAGAGUGCACGAGAGCAUUCUGGAGUUCUGAGAUUCUUAAAGGCUGCAGGAAGCUCCGGGGUUCCUGGAAUUUGUACGUUUGAAGGGAAAGAAACUGUUGCUUAAUCCUCAGCUGUUCUGCUCAACAAGAAAGUGGAUGCCUGAAUCGAGUUUUCCCAGAUAGCUUUUAUUGUUCCCGUUUCCCUCCGGUGAAUGGGUGAAGGGGUGAGCUCCUUCAUCACCAGCGAGAAGGCAACUCCUCACUGGCCCCCUCUGAAAGAUGCCAUCAUCCUGCCAUAUCUGUACUCCUACCUAAGACAGUGCAAGUUCCUUCAGGGUAGGUGCUGUUGGCUUAUGGAUUUCCCAGAAAAGCUAAAGAAACAAUAUACACAUUGAGGACAAGAGAAAGGAAAGUGACACAAAGCAGAGUCUCCCCACCCCCCACUCCUUUGCAGAGCAGAGAGGUCCAUGGGUGGGAAACACUGGAGAUAUUUUCAGACUUUUUCAAUGCUCUGAUCACUUCUACUGUUUUUUCUCUUUUUCUUUAAAAUAUUCUUUGUUAUAGGGCUGGCUGGCUCUCUAGGAGGGGGGGAGGGAGAGGAGUAAUGUGAGAAAUUUAGGUGAUGUGAAAACAAAUGAUAUCACCGAAGUUUUAAAAAGGAUUAAGUUGCCCUCAUUUUCAGAGCUAAUAAUGAAAUCCUUUCUUUUCUUCCUUCUCUCUUCCCUUCAUUCAUCUCUCUUUCCCUCCCUCUCUCCCUCCCUUCCUUUUCCCUCCCUUCCUCCCUCCCUUCUUCCCUUCCUCCUUCCCUUCCUUCUUCUCUCCCUCCCUCCCUCCCUCCCUCCCUCCCUCCCUUCCUUCCUUCCUUCCUUCCUUCCUUCCUUCCUUCCUUCCUUCCUUCCUUCCUUCCUUCCUUCCUUGCUUCCUUCCUUCCUCCCUCCCUCCCUCCCUCCCUUCCUUGCACUUCUUUCUCUUUUGUGUCUUCAGAAUGUCAUUUUUUAGGGGGCAGCUGGGUAGCUCAGUGGAUUGAGAGCCAGGCCCAGAGAUGGGAAGUCCUGGGUUCAAAUCUGGCCUCAGACACUUCCCAGCUGUGUGACCCUGGGCAAGUCACUUGACUCCCAUUGCCUAGCCCUUAUCAUUCUUCUGAUGUAGAGCCAAUAUACAGUAUGGAUUCCAAGGUGGAAGGUAAGGGUUUAAAAAAAAAGAAAAAAAAAGAAUUUCAUUCUUUACCAUCUCCCUUCUUAUCUGGGCUAUCUUCCUCUGAAGCAUUUUAGUUGGAGAGAUGCUUCUUGACUUUUCCCUGAACCUAUUAAAAUUUGCUUUCCCUAAA